RNAcentral lists this ribosomal RNA (2908 nucleotides) under Salmonella enterica subsp. enterica serovar Saintpaul. Its description in RNAcentral is "23S ribosomal RNA". It matches the Rfam family "Bacterial large subunit ribosomal RNA". RNAcentral also lists the same sequence under 1 other name. Lineage: Bacteria; Pseudomonadati; Pseudomonadota; Gammaproteobacteria; Enterobacterales; Enterobacteriaceae. The record is from RNAcentral.
GGUUAAGCGACUAAGCGUACACGGUGGAUGCCCUGGCAGUCAGAGGCGAUGAAGGGCGUGCUAAUCUGCGAUAAGCGCCGGUAAGGUGAUAUGAACCGUUAUAACCGGCGAUACCCGAAUGGGGAAACCCAGUGUGAUUCGUCACACUAUCAUUAACUGAAUCCAUAGGUUAAUGAGGCGAACCGGGGGAACUGAAACAUCUAAGUACCCCGAGGAAAAGAAAUCAACCGAGAUUCCCCCAGUAGCGGCGAGCGAACGGGGAGGAGCCCAGAGCCUGAAUCAGCAUGUGUGUUAGUGGAAGCGUCUGGAAAGGCGCGCGAUACAGGGUGACAGCCCCGUACACAAAAGCGCAUGUGCUGUGAGCUCGAUGAGUAGGGCGGGACACGUGGUAUCCUGUCUGAAUAUGGGGGGACCAUCCUCCAAGGCUAAAUACUCCUGACUGACCGAUAGUGAACCAGUACCGUGAGGGAAAGGCGAAAAGAACCCCGGCGAGGGGAGUGAAAAAGAACCUGAAACCGUGUACGUACAAGCAGUGGGAGCACAGGUUUACCUGUGUGACUGCGUACCUUUUGUAUAAUGGGUCAGCGACUUAUAUUCUGUAGCAAGGUUAACCGUAUAGGGGAGCCGGAGGGAAACCGAGUCUUAACCGGGCGUUAAGUUGCAGGGUAUAGACCCGAAACCCGGUGAUCUAGCCAUGGGCAGGUUGAAGGUUGGGUAACACUAACUGGAGGACCGAACCGACUAAUGUUGAAAAAUUAGCGGAUGACCUGUGGCUGGGGGUGAAAGGCCAAUCAAACCGGGAGAUAGCUGGUUCUCCCCGAAAGCUAUUUAGGUAGCGCCUCGUGAAUUCAUCUCCGGGGGUAGAGCACUGUUUCGGCUAGGGGGCCAUCCCGGCUUACCAACCCGAUGCAAACUGCGAAUACCGGAGAAUGUUAUCACGGGAGACACACGGCGGGUGCUAACGUCCGUCGUGAAGAGGGAAACAACCCAGACCGCCAGCUAAGGUCCCAAAGUCAUGGUUAAGUGGGAAACGAUGUGGGAAGGCCCAGACAGCCAGGAUGUUGGCUUAGAAGCAGCCAUCAUUUAAAGAAAGCGUAAUAGCUCACUGGUCGAGUCGGCCUGCGCGGAAGAUGUAACGGGGCUAAACCAUGCACCGAAGCUGCGGCAGCGACGCUGAUGCGUUGUUGGGUAGGGGAGCGUUCUGUAAGCCUGCGAAGGUGGCCUGUGAGGGUUGCUGGAGGUAUCAGAAGUGCGAAUGCUGACAUAAGUAACGAUAAAGCGGGUGAAAAGCCCGCUCGCCGGAAGACCAAGGGUUCCUGUCCAACGUUAAUCGGGGCAGGGUGAGUCGACCCCUAAGGCGAGGCCGAAAGGCGUAGUCGAUGGGAAACGGGUUAAUAUUCCCGUACUUGGUGUUACUGCGAAGGGGGGACGGAGAAGGCUAUGUUGGCCGGGCGACGGUUGUCCCGGUUUAAGCGUGUAGGUGUGUGUUCCAGGUAAAUCCGGUUCACUUUAACACUGAGGCGUGACGACGAGGCACUACGGUGCUGAAGCAACAAAUGCCCUGCUUCCAGGAAAAGCCUCUAAGCAUCAGGUAACAUCAAAUCGUACCCCAAACCGACACAGGUGGUCAGGUAGAGAAUACCAAGGCGCUUGAGAGAACUCGGGUGAAGGAACUAGGCAAAAUGGUGCCGUAACUUCGGGAGAAGGCACGCUGACAUGUAGGUGAAGUGAUUUACUCAUGGAGCUGAAGUCAGUCGAAGAUACCAGCUGGCUGCAACUGUUUAUUAAAAACACAGCACUGUGCAAACACGAAAGUGGACGUAUACGGUGUGACGCCUGCCCGGUGCCGGAAGGUUAAUUGAUGGGGUCAGCGCAAGCGAAGCUCCUGAUCGAAGCCCCGGUAAACGGCGGCCGUAACUAUAACGGUCCUAAGGUAGCGAAAUUCCUUGUCGGGUAAGUUCCGACCUGCACGAAUGGCGUAAUGAUGGCCAGGCUGUCUCCACCCGAGACUCAGUGAAAUUGAACUCGCUGUGAAGAUGCAGUGUACCCGCGGCAAGACGGAAAGACCCCGUGAACCUUUACUAUAGCUUGACACUGAACAUUGAGCCUUGAUGUGUAGGAUAGGUGGGAGGCUUUGAAGUGUGGACGCCAGUCUGCAUGGAGCCGACCUUGAAAUACCACCCUUUAAUGUUUGAUGUUCUAACGUGGACCCGUAAUCCGGGUUGCGGACAGUGUCUGGUGGGUAGUUUGACUGGGGCGGUCUCCUCCUAAAGAGUAACGGAGGAGCACGAAGGUUGGCUAAUCCUGGUCGGACAUCAGGAGGUUAGUGCAAUGGCAUAAGCCAGCUUGACUGCGAGCGUGACGGCGCGAGCAGGUGCGAAAGCAGGUCAUAGUGAUCCGGUGGUUCUGAAUGGAAGGGCCAUCGCUCAACGGAUAAAAGGUACUCCGGGGAUAACAGGCUGAUACCGCCCAAGAGUUCAUAUCGACGGCGGUGUUUGGCACCUCGAUGUCGGCUCAUCACAUCCUGGGGCUGAAGUAGGUCCCAAGGGUAUGGCUGUUCGCCAUUUAAAGUGGUACGCGAGCUGGGUUUAGAACGUCGUGAGACAGUUCGGUCCCUAUCUGCCGUGGGCGCUGGAGAACUGAGGGGGGCUGCUCCUAGUACGAGAGGACCGGAGUGGACGCAUCACUGGUGUUCGGGUUGUCAUGCCAAUGGCACUGCCCGGUAGCUAAAUGCGGAAGAGAUAAGUGCUGAAAGCAUCUAAGCACGAAACUUGCCCCGAGAUGAGUUCUCCCUGAGACUUAGAGUCUCCUGAAGGAACGUUGAAGACGACGACGUUGAUAGGCCGGGUGUGUAAGCGCAGCGAUGCGUUGAGCUAACCGGUACUAAUGAACCGUGAGGCUUAACCUU